RNAcentral lists this ribosomal RNA (566 nucleotides) under uncultured Diversispora. Its description in RNAcentral is "SSU rRNA". It matches the Rfam family "Eukaryotic small subunit ribosomal RNA", at positions 548 to 1113 of the family's 1831-position model. The record is from RNAcentral. Lineage: Eukaryota; Fungi; Glomeromycota; Glomeromycetes; Diversisporales; Diversisporaceae.
UUGGAGGGCAAGUCUGGUGCCAGCAGCCGCGGUAAUUCCAGCUCCAAUAGCGUAUAUUAAAGUUGUUGCAGUUAAAAAGCUCGUAGUUGAACUUCGGGGUCUACCCAUUGGUCAGGCUUAAUUGUCUGCACUGGUGAGAUGGAUCUCUACCUUCUGAGGAACUUUCAUGCCAUUUAUUUGGUGUGGUUGGAAAUCAGGACUGUUACUUUGAAAAAAUUAGAGUGUUUAAAGCAGACUAUCGUCUGAAUACAUUAGCAUGGAAUAAUGAAAUAGGACGGACUGAUUCUAUUUCGUUGGUUUCUAGGAUCACCGUAAUGAUUAAUAGGGAUAGUUGGGGGCAUUAGUAUUCAAUUGUCAGAGGUGAAAUUCUUGGAUUUAUUGAAGACUAACUACUGCGAAAGCAUUUGCCAAGGAUGUUUUCAUUAAUCAAGAACGAAAGUUAGGGGAUCGAAGACGAUCAGAUACCGUCGUAGUCUUAACCAUAAACUAUGCCGACUAGGGAUCGGACGAAGUUAAUUUUAUAAUGACGCGUUCGGCACCUUACGGGAAACCAAAGUGUUUGGGUU